RNAcentral lists this long non-coding RNA (434 nucleotides) under Physcomitrium patens. Its description in RNAcentral is "long non-coding RNA (PPAT_LNC008865)". Lineage: Eukaryota; Viridiplantae; Streptophyta; Bryopsida; Funariales; Funariaceae. The record is from RNAcentral.
AAAAGACAUUAGAAACACUUACGGGAAGAAGCCAAAAAAAUGACAAAAGUGUUGAUGCUUCAAUCAACAAAUUCACAAUCUAUUUGUUAUCAAUAAAUUAUAACACUUUUUCAACCAUACUUUGCAAAAAUAAAAUAUUUUUAUGCAUGUAAUCAACUCCAUGUUAAUUAAGAGAAAAUGGUACAACUCUAAUACAAGAUGAAUAUAUCUUUUUUUGUUUCAAUAUAUCAUAAGAAAAAAGAGUUACAAUAACAAGAGAAAAUAAAUACACACUUAUUGUACAUCAAUAAUGUAUCAUGGAUAUAUACCUAUUAUAAUUAUUACGUAGGUAAUAUAAAUAGAUAGAAUUAAAUAAAAAUAGAUUAAUUUCAUAAUACUUUCUAGAAAAGCUUCAUAGAAGCUUCUUAGAUGUUGUUUUGAUUUUACAUAUGUUU